GUGAGGAAUAUUGCGCAAUGGGCGAAAGCCUGACGCAGCGACGCCGCGUGGGGGAUGAAGGCUUUCGGGUUGUAAACCCCUUUCGACCGGAAAGAACCGCGCUAGGACAAAUAAUCUUAGCGCCUGACGGUACCGGGAGAAGAAGCCACGGCUAACUCUGUGCCAGCAGCCGCGGUAAGACAGAGGUGGCGAGCGUUGUUCGGAUUUACUGGGCGUAAAGCGUGCGUAGGCGGUUGCAUGUGUCAGAUGUGAAAUCCCAAGGCUUAACCUUGGAAUGGCAUUUGAAACUAUGCAACUUGAGGACAGGAGGGGGAAGCGGAAUUCCCGGUGUAGCGGUGAAAUGCGUAGAUAUCGGGAAGAACACCGGUGGCGAAGGCGGCUUCCUGGACUGUCCCUGACGCUGAGGUACGAAAGCGUGGGUAGCAAACAGG
Molecule: ribosomal RNA, 431 nt
Filed under: uncultured bacterium
Lineage: Bacteria
Description: bacterial SSU rRNA
Rfam family: Bacterial small subunit ribosomal RNA
Source: RNAcentral